This 164-nucleotide ribosomal RNA is filed under the name uncultured bacterium. Its description in RNAcentral is "partial 16S rRNA". It matches the Rfam family "Bacterial small subunit ribosomal RNA", at positions 355 to 511 of the family's 1533-position model. The record is from RNAcentral.
UAGGGAAUCUUCCACAAUGGACGCAAGUCUGAUGGAGCAACGCCGCGUGAGCGAAGAAGGUUUUCGGAUCGUAAAGCUCUGUUGUUGGUGAAGAAGGAUAGAGGUAGUAACUGGCCUUUAUUUGACGGUAAUCAACCAGAAAGUCACGGCUAACUACGUGCCAG